This 252-nucleotide ribosomal RNA is filed under the name uncultured bacterium. RNAcentral's name for it is "partial 16S ribosomal RNA". It matches the Rfam family "Bacterial small subunit ribosomal RNA", at positions 524 to 776 of the family's 1533-position model. The record is from RNAcentral.
UACGUAGGUCCCGAGCGUUGUCCGGAUUUAUUGGGCGUAAAGCGAGCGCAGGUGGUUUAUUAAGUCUGGUGUAAAAAUUCGGGGCUCAACCCCGUCCGGCCGUUGAAACUGGGGGUCUUGAGUGGGCGAGAAGAAGGCGGAAUGCGUGGUGUAGCGGUGAAAUGCAUAGAUAUCACGCAGAACCCCGAUUGCGAAGGCAGCCUUCCGGCGCCCUACUGACGCUGAGGCACGAAAGUGCGGGGAUCGAACAGG